Molecule: non-coding RNA, 193 nt
Organism: Oryza nivara
Lineage: Eukaryota; Viridiplantae; Streptophyta; Magnoliopsida; Poales; Poaceae
Source: Rfam
UGUGUAAGAAGAGAGCUCUCUUCAGUCCACUCUCAGAUGGCUGUAGGGUUUUAUUAGCUGCCGAAUCAUCCAUUCAUCUACCAAGAAAGUUGCAGGAGUGUUUCUCUUGGUAGCGGACUGGAUGACGCGGGAGCUAAAAUUUAGCUCUGCGCCGUUUGUGGUUGGACUGAAGGGUGCUCCCUUGCUCAAGCAC